AUGCAGAUUUGUUAUCUUCAAGCAAAGCUAAAUAGUGAAGAGGAUGAGCAUCCAGAGUAUAUCAUCCGCGGAACACCUGGCAGGAUCCAGCACUGUGGAGAGCUUGAUGAUCACUGUUACUGGGGUAAUGAGGUUAAGUUAUAUCAAUGGCACGUAGGCGCUCUCUUUGCUAUGUUCUUGCGCAAAAAGCCAGGCAUCAACUACUAUGUGUGCACAAUCAAUAAAACAUUUGCCAAGCUAGGCCAGCGCAUGAACCUGCUGGACUACAUUGAUCCACAUAAUGAUACACUCAUGGUCAAGCUUGCAAAUGGGUGUCUGCUUGCCAGAUGUCGCAUCAUGCUAGAAACUGACAAGAGGACAACCAUAACCACCGUCUGGUCCGAGUUUCGUCGCCGCGCCAACAUUCGCGAAGGAGAUGUUUGCGUUGCUAUUUGA
This 435-nucleotide ribosomal RNA is filed under the name Triticum aestivum (bread wheat). Its description in RNAcentral is "partial small subunit ribosomal RNA". Lineage: Eukaryota; Viridiplantae; Streptophyta; Magnoliopsida; Poales; Poaceae. The record is from RNAcentral.